RNAcentral lists this ribosomal RNA (810 nucleotides) under Saccharomyces cerevisiae (brewer's yeast). RNAcentral's name for it is "LSU rRNA". It matches the Rfam family "Eukaryotic large subunit ribosomal RNA", at positions 1 to 785 of the family's 3401-position model. Lineage: Eukaryota; Fungi; Ascomycota; Saccharomycetes; Saccharomycetales; Saccharomycetaceae. The record is from RNAcentral.
GAUAAGAAGAGAGCGUCUAGGCGAACAAUGUUCUUAAAGUUUGACCUCAAAUCAGGUAGGAGUACCCGCUGAACUUAAGCAUAUCAAUAAGCGGAGGAAAAGAAACCAACCGGGAUUGCCUUAGUAACGGCGAGUGAAGCGGCAAAAGCUCAAAUUUGAAAUCUGGUACCUUCGGUGCCCGAGUUGUAAUUUGGAGAGGGCAACUUUGGGGCCGUUCCUUGUCUAUGUUCCUUGGAACAGGACGUCAUAGAGGGUGAGAAUCCCGUGUGGCGAGGAGUGCGGUUCUUUGUAAAGUGCCUUCGAAGAGUCGAGUUGUUUGGGAAUGCAGCUCUAAGUGGGUGGUAAAUUCCAUCUAAAGCUAAAUAUUGGCGAGAGACCGAUAGCGAACAAGUACAGUGAUGGAAAGAUGAAAAGAACUUUGAAAAGAGAGUGAAAAAGUACGUGAAAUUGUUGAAAGGGAAGGGCAUUUGAUCAGACAUGGUGUUUUGUGCCCUCUGCUCCUUGUGGGUAGGGGAAUCUCGCAUUUCACUGGGCCAGCAUCAGUUUUGGUGGCAGGAUAAAUCCAUAGGAAUGUAGCUUGCCUCGGUAAGUAUUAUAGCCUGUGGGAAUACUGCCAGCUGGGACUGAGGACUGCGACGUAAGUCAAGGAUGCUGGCAUAAUGGUUAUAUGCCGCCCGUCUUGAAACACGGACCAAGGAGUCUAACGUCUAUGCGAGUGUUUGGGUGUAAAACCCAUACGCGUAAUGAAAGUGAACGUAGGUUGGGGCCUCGCAAGAGGUGCACAAUCGACCGAUCCUGAUGUCUUCGGAU